AUGUCGAAGAAGUUUGAGAUGUCUAUGAUGUGUGAACUCAAGUUCUUUCUUGGUUUGCAAAUCAAGCAAACUAAGGAGGGCACCUUUGUUUCUCAAACAAAGUAUACCAAGGACUUAUUCAAGAAGUUCAACAUGCAAGAAAGCAAAGGUAUGAAAACACCCAUGCCUACUAGUGGACAUCUUGACUUGACUAAGGAUGGCAAAUCGGUUGAACAAAAGGUUUACCGCUCUAUGAUUGGUUCAUUGUUAUAUCUAUGUGCCUCCUCUCCUGAUAUGCUAAGUGUGUGCAUGUGUGCACGAUAUCAAGCGGCCCCGAAAGAAUGUCAUCUUAAGGCUGUGAAAAGGAUAGUGAGAUACUUAAUUCAUACACCAAAUUUUGGCAUUUGGUAUCCUAAGAGGUCUUCCUUUGAUCUUGUUGGCUACUCCGAUUCGGACUAUGCCGGAGACAAGGUAGAGAGAAAGUCCACUUCGGGUACUUGUCAAUUUCUUGGUAGAUCUCUUCUGUCUUGGUCCUCCAAGAAACAAAACUCAGUAUCCUUAUCCACCGCCGAAGCGGAAUACAUUGCCGCCGGUUCAUGUUGUGCUCAAUUACUUUGGAUGACCCAAACUCUUAAAGAUUAUGGGAUCUAUGUGAAACAUGUUCCAUUGCUAUGUGACAGUGAAAGUGCUAUUAAGAUUGCUCAUAAUCCCAUGCAACAUUCUCGAACUAAGCCUAUUGAAGUUCGUCAUCAUUUCAUUCGAGAUCAUGUUGCUAAAGGAGACAUUGAUCUUAAGCAUGUUCGUACCGAUAAGCAAUUGGCAGAUAUAUUCACCAAACCGCUUGAUGAGAAAGUAUUUUUCCGUUUGAGAAGUGAAUUGAACAUCAUUGAUGCUUCAAACUUGGAGUAG
Molecule: ribosomal RNA, 888 nt
Filed under: Triticum aestivum (bread wheat)
Lineage: Eukaryota; Viridiplantae; Streptophyta; Magnoliopsida; Poales; Poaceae
Description: partial small subunit ribosomal RNA
Source: RNAcentral